Piliocolobus tephrosceles (Ugandan red Colobus) is the source of this 1036-nucleotide long non-coding RNA. RefSeq lists it as uncharacterized. The transcript has 2 exons. Lineage: Eukaryota; Metazoa; Chordata; Mammalia; Primates; Cercopithecidae. The record is from RefSeq and is a predicted model, not a curated record.
GACGGGGUUUCACCAUGUUAGCCAGGAUGGUCUCGAUCUCCUGACCUCAUGAUCCACCCAUCUCAGCUUCCCAAAGUGCUGGGAUUACAGGCUUGAGCCACCACGCCCGGCUAGGCCUCAAGGAUUUUUAAGCUGGUCAACCAGAGGUUGGAGGUGGAGGUGAGGCAGGGCCCACCCUCUUUAAAGAUACAUGCUAAAUAUUUAUAUGCAGGCAGACUGCAUUGCUAGCUGGGAUUUGCUUUGAAACACUGCAGGCCGGGGAGGGGUCUUGAUGAAACGCGAUUGGCUGUGAGGUGAUCAGUGUUGAAACUGAGUGAUGGAUACUUGGGUGUUCAUGCCCUUCUCCUGGUGCCUGUGUAUGACGUUUUCCAAACCUGAAAAAAAAUUGAAGUCCCCUGGCAAUGCCGGGCACCAAGCAAAUGGGCACUUUUGCUGAGACCCUCGUGCUCCUCAGUCCCCCACCCCCCACUCUUGGGCACAGACCCCCAGGAUCGAGAUUGGGGGACGCCUCUCAGGCUCUCCCUUGCUGGGGGUUGUCUUGACCGCAGAGACCCUGCAGAAUUACCUGAAGGUGGUGAUGGCCCUCAAGUACGAGGAGAAGCCGCCCUACGCCAUGCUGAGGAACAACCUAGAAGCUCUGCUGCAGGAUCUGCGUGUGUCCCCAUAUGACCCCAUUGGCCUCCCGAUGGUGCCCUAGGUGGAAUCCAGAACUUUCCAUUUGCAGUGUGCAACAGAAAAAGAAAAAAAAAAAUGAAGCAAUGUGACUCAAGGCCUGCCGUUUAAUCACCGAGAAGCUUCUAGAACAAGCCCUGGAAUGUGCAUUCCUGCCACUGGUUUCGGGAUACUCAUCAGUCCUGAUUAGCCUCAGGGAGGCCCCCAGUUUCCCUCCAGUGAAUGUGAAGUUCCCCGUCUGGGUGGCCUGCCCUUCAGCCAGUGUCCUAGCAAAGCUGGAUGGGGUAGGGCCGGCCCCCAGGGGGGACCCCUGCUACCCUUGACACCUCUGUGCUUUGGUAAUAAAUUUUUUACCAGAGCUUAA